UGAGCUUGUCAUUGGGUUAGCUCUCCGUGU
RNAcentral lists this non-coding RNA (30 nucleotides) under Rattus norvegicus (Norway rat). Lineage: Eukaryota; Metazoa; Chordata; Mammalia; Rodentia; Muridae. The record is from RNAcentral.